GAAUGACUAAGAUUCAAAAUUAUGCCCCUGAGAACCUGGGAGAUGAAAUCGCUCAGGAUGGAUCAAAGGCCUAACUGUGAGACCUGAAACUAUGAUUUCCAGUGUGUUUUCGCUCCAGUUCUCCCCUGGGAGUGUACUCCAGAC
Molecule: long non-coding RNA, 144 nt
Organism: Lepus europaeus (European hare)
Lineage: Eukaryota; Metazoa; Chordata; Mammalia; Lagomorpha; Leporidae
Exons: 3
Source: RefSeq, a predicted model, not a curated record